AUUGAACGCUGGGGGCAUGCCUUACACAUGCAAGUCGAACGGCAGCACGGGGCAACCUGGUGGCGAGUGGCGAACGGGUGAGUAAUGCAUCGGAACGUGCCAUUGAGUGGGGGAUAACGUAGCGAAAGUUGCGCUAAUACCGCAUAUUCUGUGAGCAGGAAAGCAGGGGACCGCAAGGCCUUGCGCUCUUUGAGCAACCGAUGUCAGAUUAGCUAGUUGGUGAGGUAACGGCUUACCAAGGCGACGAUCUGUAGCGGGUCUGAGAGGAUGAUCCGCCACACUGAACUGAGACACGGUCCAGACUCCUACGGGAGGCAGCAGUGGGGAAUUUUGGACAAUGGGCGCAAGCCUGAU
RNAcentral lists this ribosomal RNA (354 nucleotides) under uncultured bacterium. Its description in RNAcentral is "bacterial SSU rRNA". It matches the Rfam family "Bacterial small subunit ribosomal RNA", at positions 30 to 387 of the family's 1533-position model. The record is from RNAcentral.